RNAcentral lists this long non-coding RNA (299 nucleotides) under Oryctolagus cuniculus (rabbit). RNAcentral's name for it is "lncRNA (ENSOCUG00000030847.1)". The record is from RNAcentral. Lineage: Eukaryota; Metazoa; Chordata; Mammalia; Lagomorpha; Leporidae.
AUGCUCUGCCUUACUCCCGCUGCCCUGAAGUGAAGUUGAAUUAUAAAAUAGAGCCAGCCUUAUCUUGAGCAGCCAUGCAACAAUGGUUUCUGGAGCGAAAAACUAAAACCAUGUGAUAUUAAGUGUCUGUGCCCUAUGAAGUCCAUGAAGCAGGAAUCCUGUCUCUUCAUCAUUAUACAACUCCACCUAGAGUAAUACCUGCCACAGAGGAGUCUCCACAAUGAACAGCUGAUGUUAAAUGGAAUGUUCUCUGAGACUGAGCUUCUGGAAUUAUUUCAAGCACACCCAAAUGGUUGAAA